This is a long non-coding RNA of Vicia villosa (hairy vetch), 1287 nucleotides long. RefSeq lists it as uncharacterized. NCBI's taxonomy places the organism in Eukaryota, Viridiplantae, Streptophyta, Magnoliopsida, Fabales, Fabaceae. The transcript has 6 exons. The record is from RefSeq and is a predicted model, not a curated record.
CUGCAGAAACGUGAACACACUCUACUCUAUUCCUUCUCCUUGAAAACCCUAGCGCCGCCGAAUCUCCUUCUUCCUCUCCCUCCGACCACCGCACCUCUAAUCGAAGAAAGGAGCUUAUUUUCGUGUUCAUCAUCACGUGACCUUCAACUUGAACCGUUGAUUUUUUUUGACAGUCACUUCCGGCCACCCUUUCACUGCCUCCCACCGCCGCGACUCUAGGCAAAGAACGGGGACUUUUUCUGCUCCAUUUAGCACAUCCUUUAGGAUAAACAUAUGGCUGCCCUCAACAUUUCAAAAUUUGAGGGUUUUAUUGUAUCUGAUCAACGGCUUCAAAGCCAGUUUACACAGGUUGAACUUCGUAGCCUCAAAUCAAAAUUUGUGUCUUUCAAAAAUCAGAAUGGGAAGGUUACAUUUGGAGAUUUAUCAUCUUUGAUGAUUAAACUAAAGGCGUUUGUAGAUAUGUAUAAUGAAGAUUAGGCGUUUGAAGACUUUUUGAAGCUAGAGAGGCAGCUUGGUAGCUUCAAUCAAGUUGCUGUUCUGAUGCAUAAUGACUGCCUUUAACUUUUCCAGGAGAUACUUGGAUUUGCAUUUGAGGCUAUAGAUAGUGCUGAUGGAUUUCAGAAUACUCAUCAAAAGCAACAAUAUGAGUCGGCUAAAUUCAGCAUUGAUCAGGUUGUUUUCAUUCUGCAAAAAGUGCAUAUCAUAUGGGAACCAUUUUUGCUUCCUUCAACUUACAGGAAAAGCAUGUGUACAGUAUUAGAAUCAGUUUUCUCUAGAAUUUCAAGAGAUAUACUUCUCCUAGAUGACAUAGCUGCAAAUUAGACUUUACAGGAUAAAUUUGAACAGAAAAAGUUGGAGAUUUCUUCUCAGAAGCCAACUAUUCCAGGAGAGGACGAAGCUGAUAGUCAACCAACUAAUGAAAUGCCACCUGAUUUGGAUAUAUGGGUAAUAGGGUAUUUGGUCUUGGAACCGCAUGGCCGAAGCGAAUAAUAAAAUUUCAUUUUUAAUGAAUCAUUUAGGAUUUGUUGGGUCUUCUUCUCAUCCACCACAACCCACUAAUGAAAGUGAGCACACAAAUGAAGAUGGCGUCGAUGAAACAGAUGAAGAAGAUUUGAUUUGUACUUUUUUUUCAUUUUGACUUAGUUUUUGGAUUGUAUUAUCUUUUUAACUUGGUUGACAAAUGAUUAGUAAUAACUUGAUUUUUAUUAAUGACUAUGUAAGUACUUCUUACCAAUUAUGUUCUAUGAGAUUUAAAUUGAAAAUUAUAAUUUUAUUUUAUAUUAUAGU